AUCUACAGCUAUACUAACCUGAACACACCCAAUCUCAUCUGAUCUUGGAAAGCUAAGCAGAGUUAGUCCUGGUUAGUACUUGGAUGAGAGACAGUGUGGGCUUGAGGACGCGAAUC
This 116-nucleotide ribosomal RNA is filed under the name Tupaia belangeri (northern tree shrew). Lineage: Eukaryota; Metazoa; Chordata; Mammalia; Scandentia; Tupaiidae. The record is from RNAcentral.